GCAUAUCCAAUAAGCGGAGGGAAAAGAAACCAACAGGGAUUGCCCCCAGUAACGGCGAAGUGAAGCGGCAACAGCUCAAAUUUGAAAUCUGGCCUCGUGCCCGAGUUGUAAUUUGUAGAGGAUGCUUUUGGCGACGCGCCUUCCGAGUUCCCUGGAACGGGACGCCAUAGAGGGUGAGAGCCCCGUCCGGUCGUGCGCCUAGCCUCUGUAAAGCUCCUUCGACGAGUCGAGUAGUUUGGGAAUGCUGCUCUAAAUGGGAGGUAUACGUCUUCUAAAGCUAAAUACCGGCCAGAGACCGAUAGCGCACAAGUAGAGUGAUCGAAAGAUGAAAAGCACUUUGAAAAGAGGGUUAAAUAGUACGUGAAAUUGCUGAAAGGGAAGCGCUUAUGACCAGACUUGGGCGCGGCGGAUCAUCCGGCGUUCUCGCCGGUGCACUCCACCGCCCCAGGCCAGCAUCAGUUCGCGCCGGGGGACAAAGGCUUCGGGAAUGUGGCUCUCUCGGGAGUGUUAUAGCCCGCUGCGUAAUACCCUGGCGCGGACUGAGGUCCGCGCUCUGCAAGGAUGCUGGCGUAAUGGUCAUCAGUGACCCGUCUUGAAACACGGACCAAGGAGUCGUCUUCGUAUGCGAGUGUUCGGGUGUCAAACCCCUACGCGGAAUGAAAGUGAACGUAGGAGAGAGCUUCGGCGCAUCUCCGACCGAUCCUGAUGUUCUCGGAUGGAUUUGAGUAAGAGCAUACGGGGCCGGACCCGAAAGAAGGUGAACUAUGCCUGUGUAGGGUGAAGCCAGAGGAAACUCUGGUGGAGGCUCGCAGCGGUUCUGACGUGCAAAUCGAUCGUCAAACAUGGGCAUGGGGGCGAAAGACUAAUCGAACCUUCUAGUAGCUGGUUUUCCGCCGAAGU
Molecule: ribosomal RNA, 900 nt
Filed under: Emericellopsis glabra
Lineage: Eukaryota; Fungi; Ascomycota; Sordariomycetes; Hypocreales; Bionectriaceae
Description: LSU rRNA
Rfam family: Eukaryotic large subunit ribosomal RNA
Source: RNAcentral